Musa acuminata AAA Group (dessert banana) is the source of this 1991-nucleotide RNA transcript. It is a transcript of the gene named ATG8-interacting protein 1-like, with no coding region annotated. The transcript has 6 exons. The record is from RefSeq and is a predicted model, not a curated record. Lineage: Eukaryota; Viridiplantae; Streptophyta; Magnoliopsida; Zingiberales; Musaceae.
GGUUCUCAAUAAAUAUCGAGUGGAGAGGUGGCUUUCCUCCGUAGCCUCCUCGUCUCUCAUCGGGGUUUGGCCUCUCUCCACUGCGUCCUUCGUCGUUCUUGGAUCGAAUUGUCGAUUCGGGAGAAAUGGCAGACAAAGAGAAAGACUGUCAAGAGAAUCAUGUUGAUGGAAAUGACUGGGAAGUUGUUUCUCUUUCAGCAUCCAUGAUGGCUUCUGCAGCUGAUCAAAUGGGAUUCGAUCCAUCAAAUGUGAGUAAAGAUAAGGAGUUCAAAAAAAGUGAACCAGAAUCUUCUCCUUUAAUCAUGUCAAGUCACUUCGUAUUUCCACCAAUGGAGUACGAGACUGUUAAACUAAAAGAUAGUAACUGUGAAUUUGGCAAUAGAGUCAUGAAUGAAGAUGUAAUCCCCGGUGAUGAAAAGGGUAACACCACCAAUAAGACUCUUGAAGAAAGCUUUAAGACUAAAUUGGAUGGCAGCCUACAUGGGAUUCAGUUUUCUGAGAAAGACAAGGAUCCUUCGUUUGGUGGCAUAGACAUUGGAGAAGGGAAGGCAACACAAGAAAUGAGCUUGGUUUUGGAAGAAGAGAUGCUGUUAAAUUCUCAUGGAAUUAAUGAUGAUCAUGCUGAAACUGGUAUGAGUGGAUCGUUUCCUUGUAAUGAGCAAGCUGAUGAUUCCAAGCCUAUUAAUCGUUCUUACCAAUCUCCAGAUUCUCCUCUAAGUUAUCCAAAUGCAUCAAGUCAGAUAGCAGAAAAUAAAAAUGACAGGUUUAGCCUUCCAUGUGGAGCAUGGUGGAAGAGGCAUGCAAUAACUUUAUAUAAUCAUGCAAAGGAAGCAAAUACGAUGUGGUCUGUAAUAGUGGUAGCUGCAUUAAUGGGCCUUGCAAUUCUAGGGCAACGGAAACAACAAGAAAAACCUCAGCUUCAGCAACUUCAAUUGCGUCUAAGCACCAAUGGUCAGUGCAUAAACCUGAUGCUGGGACCAAUGAACAAGCUUGAAAGCAUUUUAGCAACUGAUCAUCAACAUGGUUCUGCACUUGGAUCUGCUGCACGCAAUGUUGAUGGCAACCGUUGACAAUGAUGAUGGUGACGACAAAUAUAGGUGGUGUGGUGUGCAUGUAACCGGCAGAAUACAACUGUUUGCAUACUGUAGCUAUUACAUACUACUGGCUUUAGACAUGGAAUCUCUGGGUUUAAGCAAUCCAUGGUCUCGCAGCUGAUUCUCCAAACUUGAUACAGUUUUCCAGAGUACAAGGGAUUGAUAUCCCUAACAUUUUUUCCUUAUUUUGUUUCUUUUUUCUCUGGAAUACUUAAAGGAAGGCAGCCUUGUAGUCGUUCUAGCACUCCCUCGCAUGAUAUUUUAGGCAUACAUAUCUAAGGAAAUGUUCACAACAAAAGAAUAAGGAGAAAAAUGGUGCUCCAAGGUAACUUCGAUCUUAAAACUGCACUUUUUUUGAAAUGCCACUGGGUUAGUUAUUCCUUCGUAUAUAAUACUUGCACCUAAUGCCCCUCUGUCAUUAGCAGGCACAAAAGGUUUGAUGAAAGGAAGGACAACCCUGAGCAGAGGAAGGACAAAUUGCAUAAACUUUCAAUUUCUCGCAGCAAAACAAAGGCUACGUUUUGUAUAAUGUGCUUUACAUUAAAUUCCUCAGGCCAAUCUUCUCGGAAUGUAGUAUACUCAUGUGGUUUCAGCUAAAGUUUCUGAGGUGGAUUCUGCAAUAUAUUUGUGUGUUUUAUACAAAUAUGAACAAGAAAAUGAUAAAAGUCUCAGCUUAAACACACAAGGAAUAUAUGCCUCAUCCGGUGGUUGUUCUUUUGGUGUCACUGCCUCUAUUUUAGAUGUUGCUGCGGAUGUGUGAAGGUUCUAACAAACACCAAAAUAAGAGAGCAGGACAUGAGGAGGAAGAUCAAAAGUAUGUUGAUACUCCAUCUUCUUCUUAUAUUAAAAUGCAUAUCUGAGCAAUUUUAUAAGCAUAAAGUUUUGCUUUUAUCUGAC